This 253-nucleotide ribosomal RNA is filed under the name uncultured bacterium. RNAcentral's name for it is "partial 16S ribosomal RNA". It matches the Rfam family "Bacterial small subunit ribosomal RNA", at positions 524 to 776 of the family's 1533-position model. The record is from RNAcentral.
UACGAAGGGGGCUAGCGUUGUUCGGAAUCACUGGGCGUAAAGGGCGCGUAGGCGGCGCGAGGAGUCGGGGGUGAAAGUCCGGGGCUCAACCCCGGAUCGGCCUUCGAUACUCUCGCGCUGGAGCACAGUAGAGGCGGGUGGAAUUCCGGGUGUAGCGGUGGAAUGCGUAGAGAUCCGGAAGAACACCGGUGGCGAAGGCGGCCCGCUGGGCUGUGGCUGACGCUGAGGCGCGACAGCGUGGGGAGCAAACAGG